Molecule: ribosomal RNA, 445 nt
Filed under: uncultured bacterium
Lineage: Bacteria
Description: bacterial SSU rRNA
Rfam family: Bacterial small subunit ribosomal RNA
Source: RNAcentral
GUGGGGAAUUUUGGACAAUGGGCGCAAGCCUGAUCCAGCCAUGCCGCGUGCAGGAAGAAGCAUCUAUGGUGUGUAAACUGCUUUUGUACGGGAAGAAACACUCCUUCGUGAAGGAGCUUGACGGUACCGUAAGAAUAAGGAUCGGCUAACUCCGUGCCAGCAGCCGCGGUAAUACGGAGGAUCCAAGCGUUAUCCGGAAUCAUUGGGUUUAAAGGGUCCGUAGGCGGUUUGGUAAGUCAGUGGUGAAAGCCCGCAGCUCAACUGUGGAACGGCCAUUGAUACUGCCAGACUUGAAUUACAAGGAAGUAACUAGAAUAUGUAGUGUAGCGGUGAAAUGCUUAGAUAUUACAUGGAAUACCAAUUGCGAAGGCAGGUUACUACUUGUGGAUUGACGCUGAUGGACGAAAGCGUGGGGAGCGAACAGGAUUAGAUACCCCGGUAGUCC